AGAACGCAGCGAAAUGCGAUAAGUAGUGUGAAUUGCAGAAUUCAGUGAAUCAUCGAAUCUUUGAACGCACAUUGCGCCCCUUGGUAUUCCAUGGGGCAUGCCUGUUCGAGCGUCAUUUGUACCUUCAAGCUCUGCUUGGUGUUGGGUGUUUGUCUCCUGUAGACUCGCCUUAAAACAAUUGGCAGCCGGCGUAUUGAUUUCGGAGCGCAGUACAUCUCGCGCUUUGCACUCAUAACGACGACAUCCAAAAGUACAUUUUUACACUCUUGACCUCGGAUCAGGUAGGGAUACCCGCUGAACUUAAGCAUAUCAAUAAGCG
This 319-nucleotide ribosomal RNA is filed under the name Phoma herbarum. RNAcentral describes it as "eukaryotic LSU rRNA". The stretch from base 1 to 115 matches the Rfam family "5.8S ribosomal RNA", at positions 40 to 154 of the family's 154-position model. Lineage: Eukaryota; Fungi; Ascomycota; Dothideomycetes; Pleosporales; Didymellaceae. The record is from RNAcentral.